RNAcentral lists this ribosomal RNA (494 nucleotides) under uncultured bacterium. RNAcentral's name for it is "partial 16S ribosomal RNA". It matches the Rfam family "Bacterial small subunit ribosomal RNA", at positions 28 to 507 of the family's 1533-position model. The record is from RNAcentral.
GACGAACGCUGGCGGCGUGCUUAACACAUGCAAGUCGAACGGUGAAGCGCCUUCCUUUUUGGUGGGUGUGGAUGAGUGGCGAACGGGUGAGUAACACGUGAGUAACCUGCCCCCUUCUUCUGGAUAACCGCAUGAAAGUGUGGCUAAUACGGGAUAUUCUGGGUCUGUCGCAUGAUGGGUCUGGGAAAGAUAUUGUUUCGGUGGGGGAUGGGCUCGCGGCCUAUCAGCUUGUUGGUGGGGUGAUGGCCUACCAAGGCGGUGACGGGUAGCCGGCCUGAGAGGGUUGACGGUCAGACUGGGACUGAGCCACGGCCCAGACUCCGACGGGAGGCAGCAGUGGGGAAUAUUGCACAAUGGGAGCAAGCCUGAUGCAGCGACGCCGCGUGAGGGAUGGAGGCCUGCGGGUUGUGAACCUCUUUCGCCAGUGAAGCAGGCCUGCCUAGUUUGUGGGUGGGUUGACGGUAGCUGGAUAAGAAGCGCCGGCUAACUACGUG